This is a non-coding RNA of Macaca mulatta (Rhesus monkey), 2828 nucleotides long. The record is from RefSeq and is a predicted model, not a curated record. NCBI's taxonomy places the organism in Eukaryota, Metazoa, Chordata, Mammalia, Primates, Cercopithecidae.
CCCGGCCCCAGCCCCGCCGCCCCAGCUCGGCCUCCCGCCUCGGGCCUACCCUCUCCGUGCUUGCUGGGAAGGAGCCCCUGGGGCUGGACCGCCAUGCGUGUGUUCGCCCCUCAAGGUCCCGGACAUUCUCUGUCCCCUGACCCCACUGAUUCCCACUCCCAACCAGGGGCCCCCAUUCAAAGCGAGGCUGGGGGAGAGGCCCCCCACCCAGCGUGGAAAAACACAGCAGGAAAACAGCCACUGGCAUUCACCUGCAGCAGACCGGCCUCCCUCUGCCCCAUAGACCCCAUGGUCCCAGGAGGCUCAUGGAGGGGGAUUCUAGAGCCACCUCAAAGCCCCUGGACCCCCAGUGCCUCCGAAUGUUCAAAAUGCGGAGGGAAAGUUGGUCAGAGUGUUUAUUGCAUCAUUAUUUGGAAUAAAACCUGGACAGAAGGUGAUGUACAGCUGAGGGCGUGUGCUGGCCCCACAGAACAGCCCUUCGCCCAGCCCCACUUCCCAGAGGUCCAGACCCUCUACCCUGCACCAGCUUCCUGAGCGCACACUCCCUUUGCCAGUGACCCCUCAUCCCACCCUCCCAUGUCCCACUGCCCUCAGCCCUGCUAAAGGCAAGGCCUUUGCACAGCCUGUUCCCUCUCGCUGAUUCUUGCCCCUUCUCUCCCUCCUACUUCUGUCUCUUGGGAUCCUGUCCCAGAGGAAGUGGAGGCUGUGGCCACCCCCCAUGCCCACACAACGGGGAGCAGGGGCGGUUCCCGCUGGGUCUGGGAUGCUCAUGGGCCCAGGUCGAGGUGCCUGGGGCAGCCAUGCUCCCAGCCUACGACCAGGGAAAGGUGCUUCUGAGGUGGUGAGGCGAGUGGCCCCGCACAUGGGGCAGCAGGUUCUUUUGGCCAAUUGUAUCUGUGCGGUCAGGUGACAGGAAAUUGGCACCCGGCCCGCACCCUUGGCAGUGGAACUGAGAAAAUGGGCCAGGGGUGCAAGGGGGGGAGACCAGGCCUCACUCGGAGAACCGGACACCCCUCAGCAACUCCCAGAGUCCAGCUAGGCCCCGCCCUAGUUCCCUAUGGCCACUCCCACACUGUCCCAGACCGUUUCCCUGCCCUUGAGGUCUCAGAGAGGAAGACAGAUCUGUGCUGGCAUGAUGGCUAGCAUGACCCACCUGCAGCUUCUGACGGAUGGCUAGGGACCACGCCAGAAGACAGCCUGCCCUGGGACCCCCCAGCCCUGAUGCUGGCUCCUGAGCUCUGAAUCUGGUGGGCCUAGAGAUCCCACUUCCAACCUGCAAGUGCCUGGGACAACGCCCUGCUCUGGCUGCCUCUGCCUUCACGCCCCACCAGGACCCCCCAGUGGGCAGCAGCUAAGGGGCAUUGGCCGUGGUGAGGACUCAGCUGCACCUCUCAAAGCCUGUACCCAUGAUCGGCCUCCCAGUCAACAUGGAAGCUGAAACUUAGGACUCUUGAUCCGCGCGGCGCCCGGGGGCGGAGGCAGGGCGAGGCCCCUCCCCACGCCGAGAACCUCGCGCGGGCUAGGAGGGGACGCGCUCUCCGGCCCGGCCCGGCCCCCACCCAGCACCCCCUGUGCCCCGCCCCUACCAGACGGAGCCGUAGGCGCCCGAGCCCACCGGGCGCAGCCCCUGCAGCCGCUGCGGCACCUCCCACACGGUCUUGUUCAGCUCCUGCCGGUAGAAGCCGGCGCGAGGGCCCGACAUGUCCGGACCGGCCGCCGCUCCGCCCGGGGCCAGCCCCGCGCCCCGCGCCCGCGCCCGAGCCGAGCCCGAGCCGAGCGGAGCGGAGCGGAGGGCGGCGGAGGCGGUGGCGGCGGGCGGGGCGGGGCUCCGGGGCGGGGCCGGGAGGCCCGGGCGGAUUUCCCGGGCUGGGUGGCUGGGGCGUGGGGGGGUUCCCGAAGACAAAUGCGCUGCUUCCUGCGCCUCGGAGGCGGCGGCGGAGCGGAAACCAGCCCUCCCCUUCCCGGGGGGGCGCCAAGGGCGGACACCUCCCUCCAGCUCUCACCUCCUGGGGGCCGCGCGCUUCUCCAGAUUUGCGCCCGCGUCUGGGCUCGACCCGGGCUUCCCCACCCCGGCGGCGCCCUCCCCAACGAGGAAGAACCGUCAAAACCGAAGAAGCCUUGGGUGAACCAUGGGAAGUAUUUUUCAUCAAGACAGAAAUAAGAAUAGCACCUCCCAAAGACUCGGCACUGGAUAGGAAAAUAAGCCGAAAGGCGUUGGGACAGGGCUGGCCUGGCUUUCUCACGCAGGAUCUGCAGGCCUUGGUCUGCGGCGCGCCUCGGAGAACCUUCCAGGCCUCCUGCCCCGGCUCGCCCUGACCUCCCCUCUGGGAGAGGUGCGACCGCUGGACUGUCAGGACCAGGGACAGCGGCGUCACCGCGGGGCCUUCCUACCCACAAACAGCGGCCCCAAACGGAUCCUUUUUGCUGCCCAGAACCUUUCCUCCUCCUUAGCUGCCACUUCUAGGAAGCCCACCCUGACUAUCCCAGGUCCGAGGAGCCGCCUUUGGGUGCAGGGUCCUUGAAGUCAGCCCCGCGGGCGGCCAGGCGCGGGGGGUUGCCUCGGCGGGGAAGGGGGCAGCGCUCCACUCCUUCUCGGCGUCUGUGCCGCGCCCGGGGCCGCACAGCUACUUUUAUUCCCACUGGAAAGUGACCAGGGCUCGGAGGAGCAUUGCCUCCUGGAGCACCGGUCACCGACCUCCGCCCUGGUAGAGCAGUGGGUGGGAGGUUUCGUGGCUGGGCGGCCCCCUCCAGCGAAGUGAGAAAUCAGGAUCCCAGUGGCCCAAAUAACUCCUUUUUUAAAACAUUAAAAUCCGAGUUUUAAUAUCAAA